AGUGAACGCUGGCGGUAGGCCUAACACAUGCAAGUCGAACGGCAGCACAGUAAGAGCUUGCUCUUACGGGUGGCGAGUGGCGGACGGGUGAGGAAUACAUCGGAAUCUACUUUUUCGUGGGGGAUAACGUAGGGAAACUUACGCUAAUACCGCAUACGACCUACGGGUGAAAGCAGGGGAUCUUCGGACCUUGCGCGAUUGAAUGAGCCGAUGUCGGAUUAGCUAGUUGGCGGGGUAAUGGCCCACCAAGGCGACGAUCCGUAGCUGGUCUGAGAGGAUGAUCAGCCACACUGGAACUGGGACACGGUCCAGACUCCUACGGGAGGCAGCAGUGGGGAAUAUUGGACAAUGGGCGCAAGCCUGAUCCAGCCAUACCGCGUGGGUGAAGAAGGCCUUCGGGUUGUAAAGCCCUUUUGUUGGGAAAGAAAAGCAGCAGGUUAAUACCCCGCUGUUCUGACGGUACCCAAAGAAUAAGCACCGGCUAACUUCGUG
Molecule: ribosomal RNA, 492 nt
Filed under: uncultured bacterium
Lineage: Bacteria
Description: partial 16S ribosomal RNA
Rfam family: Bacterial small subunit ribosomal RNA
Source: RNAcentral